UACGGAGGGUGCAAGCGUUAUCCGGAUUUACUGGGUUUAAAGGGUGCGCAGGCGGAUAUGUAAGUCAGUGGUGAAAUCUCCGGGCUUAACCCGGAAACUGCCGUUGAUACUAUAUAUCUUGAAUGCUGUGGAGGUAAGCAGAAUAUGUCAUGUAGCGGUGAAAUGCUUAGAUAUGACAUAGAAUACCUAUUGCGAAGGCAGCUUACUACACAGAUAUUGACGCUCAUGCACGAAAGCGUGGGGAUCAAACAGG
This 253-nucleotide ribosomal RNA is filed under the name uncultured bacterium. RNAcentral describes it as "partial 16S ribosomal RNA". It matches the Rfam family "Bacterial small subunit ribosomal RNA", at positions 524 to 776 of the family's 1533-position model. The record is from RNAcentral.